Molecule: transfer RNA, 98 nt
Filed under: Hortaea werneckii
Lineage: Eukaryota; Fungi; Ascomycota; Dothideomycetes; Mycosphaerellales; Teratosphaeriaceae
Description: tRNA-Leu
Rfam family: tRNA
About the family: Transfer RNA (tRNA) molecules are approximately 80 nucleotides in length. Their secondary structure includes four short double-helical elements and three loops (D, anti-codon, and T loops). Further hydrogen bonds mediate the characteristic L-shaped molecular structure. tRNAs have two regions of fundamental functional importance: the anti-codon, which is responsible for specific mRNA codon recognition, and the 3' end, to which the tRNAs corresponding amino acid is attached (by aminoacyl-tRNA synthetases). tRNAs cope with the degeneracy of the genetic code in two manners: having more than one tRNA (with a specific anti-codon) for a particular amino acid; and 'wobble' base-pairing, i.e. permitting non-standard base-pairing at the 3rd anti-codon position.
Source: RNAcentral
GCUAUCGUGGCCGAGUGGUCUAAGGCGGUAGAUUUAAGUUUGCUUACUUGAAAACUCUACUGGGGCGACCCGCGUGCGUUCGAACCGCACCGAUAGCA